UCAGUUGGUUAGAGCGCGCGCUUGAUAAGCGUGAGGUCGGAAGUUCAAGUCUUCCCAGGCCCACCAUUUUGAUCGAGUGCGGAGCAUUCGUCUUCUGGUACGGGGCCAUAGCUCAGCUGGGAGAGCGCGUGCUUUGCAAGCAUGAGGUCGUCGGUUCGAUCCCGUCUGGCUCCACCAGAUGGAAUUGAAGCUCGAGAGUGCCUCGUCAAAUUCGUCCGCGAAACAUCACUUCGCACUCAUUGGUCCGGAUGGACGGUGACGUGCGUGUUUUCUGACAUCGUAAAGAGGAGAUCGAUCCGAGUUUGGAUCUGCGAAGCAAUUCGCGGGUACCAUUCCUAAUCUCCAGAUCGUUUUCGGCGCUCGUUCAUCGCUACUCAUCGCAAGAUGAGUGAGAUGAGUGAGUUGUAAAACGAUCUUUGUAGCGAAGCUUGACCGCCUCGCUAUCGGGCCGAUCUUACGAAGCAAGCUGGUCUUUCUAGUCAAUGUCCGGCUGUGCAAUCGCAUUCAUCGAGGAUGCACGCCUGGGACUUCGGUCUUUGGGCAAUUACACAGACAACAUUCUGCCGAGUGUGUGGACAUUGAUAAUGAGAGCAAUCAAGUGCCUUAAGGGUGUUCGGUGGAUGCCUUGGCGCUGAGAGGCGAUGAAGGACGUGCUACGCUGCGAUAA
This 667-nucleotide unclassified non-coding RNA is filed under the name Bradyrhizobium sp. STM 3083. RNAcentral's name for it is "partial 16S-23S ribosomal RNA intergenic spacer". The stretch from base 102 to 174 matches the Rfam family "tRNA". The record is from RNAcentral. Lineage: Bacteria; Pseudomonadati; Pseudomonadota; Alphaproteobacteria; Hyphomicrobiales; Nitrobacteraceae.